This 434-nucleotide ribosomal RNA is filed under the name uncultured bacterium. RNAcentral's name for it is "bacterial SSU rRNA". It matches the Rfam family "Bacterial small subunit ribosomal RNA", at positions 958 to 1392 of the family's 1533-position model. The record is from RNAcentral.
AACGCGAAGAACCUUACCUGGGUUUGACAUGCCCGUGAUCCCCCGGUGAAAGCCGGGGUUCCCUUCGGGGCACGUGCACAGGUGCUGCAUGGCUGUCGUCAGCUCGUGUCGUGAGAUGUUGCGUUAAGUCGCGCAACGAGCGCAACCCCUGUCCUUAGUUGCCAUCAUUCAGUUGGGCACUCUAGGGAGACAAACCCUCUUUGAGGGUGGGAAGGUGGGGAUGACGUCAAGUCAGGAUGGCCCUUACGGCCUGGGCUGCACACGUACUACAAUGCCCGGUACAGAGGGAAGCAAUACCGCGAGGUGGAGCAAAUCCUCAAAACCGGGCCCAGUUCAGAUUGUAGUCUGCAACUCGACUACAUGAAGUUGGAAUCGCUAGUAAUGGCGCAUCAGCUACGGCGCCGUGAAUACGUUCCCGGGCCUUGUACACACCG